RNAcentral lists this ribosomal RNA (447 nucleotides) under uncultured bacterium. RNAcentral describes it as "bacterial SSU rRNA". It matches the Rfam family "Bacterial small subunit ribosomal RNA", at positions 355 to 825 of the family's 1533-position model. The record is from RNAcentral.
UCGGGAAUUUUGGGCAAUGGGCGAAAGCCUGACCCAGCAACGCCGCGUGAAGGAUGAAGUAUUUCGGUAUGUAAACUUCGAAAGAAUAGGAAGAAUAAAUGACGGUACUAUUUAUAAGGUCCGGCUAACUACGUGCCAGCAGCCGCGGUAAUACGUAGGGACCAAGCGUUGUUCGGAUUUACUGGGCGUAAAGGGCGCGUAGGCGGCAUGACAAGUCACUUGUGAAAUCUCUGGGCUUAACCCAGAACGGCCAAGUGAUACUGUCGCGCUAGAGUGCAGAAGGGGCAAUCGGAAUUCUUGGUGUAGCGGUGAAAUGCGUAGAUAUCAAGAGGAACACCUGAGGUGAAGACGGGUUGCUGGACUGAUACUGACACUGAGGCGCGACAGCGUGGGGAGCGAACAGGAUUAGAUACCCAAGUAGUCCCUGAGCGGGCUGGCAAGGCGCAU